UUAACUAGGAAAGGAGGAGGUUCACCUCAACGGACGACAAAGUCAGGGGAAGAUGGUGCGAAGCCAUCACGGUGCCGCCACUGUAAGCGGCGAGUGACCCUACCGAUGAGCCACUGUGCG
Molecule: non-coding RNA, 120 nt
Filed under: Nitrospirota bacterium
Lineage: Bacteria; Pseudomonadati; Nitrospirota
Source: RNAcentral